Molecule: long non-coding RNA, 241 nt
Organism: Belonocnema kinseyi
Lineage: Eukaryota; Metazoa; Arthropoda; Insecta; Hymenoptera; Cynipidae
Exons: 4
Source: RefSeq, a predicted model, not a curated record
CAACUAAAUUCGGAGCUUUAUAAUUCUUCAAAAACUGAAAGCACUGCGAUCAUUAGGAAUGAAAUCAUUCGCCAUCCGAAUUCUGAAGAACGUGUUGCACAAGAAUAGUUGGAAAGGCCAUUUCGGAUAAUACCCCUUUCAAGCAGCGAAAAUUUCGCGAGACCUAAAAUUCUUUAAAAACUGGAAACUCUGCGAUCACAAGGAAUGGAAUCGAUAGCCAUUCGAAUUCUGAUGACGAUGU